UUUCCUCAUCAAAAGCAUGAAUUCUUACUUGGGGCGGGGCAUUUUAGCCACAGACUGCAUGCUUUCCUUGACUUGAGUUCCUAGGUCCAACCUCCAGCUAAAAAUGUUAAUUUCUCAUUUGUGUGGUGGCACACACACUUAAUCUAGCACUCAGGAGGCAGAUCUUGAGUUCCAGGACAUCUCAGCUACAAUGCCUCCUAAUAUGUCAGUUGAAGAGAUGGCAAACAAAGUGAUAUGGUUGUGAGCCAUGUUUGGAAUAGGAGACAUGAAAAGAGUUGAAGGCCCGCCUUGGUUCCCUGUAACUGCUUAACUCAUCACGUAGUACAUCACCAUUAGCAGUUAGUUUAGAACUAUUCAAUCUGUUCCCCCAUGAAGACCUCAGUGAAGACCACUGCUGUCUCAUGGUUUAAGACUCAAGGCCUGGAGCCUCAAGAUGGUCUUGCCACCUGUCAGUAUCUUAUAUAGGAGCGCACCUACACAUGCUGCUGGACAUUUUCCUGUUGAAACUAGAUUUCACUGUCACUGUGGCCUAAAAUCCUCAAGAAAUUAACCAGCCUCGACCUUCUGGGUAAUGAGAUUAAAAGCAUGGUGCCACUGCACCACCACCCCCCCCCCCCCCCUUUUUAAGGAAAGGAUAAGAGACAUUCUGGCCUAUUCUGGCCUUAAACUCUGUAUCUUUCUAUUAGAGUGCUUUGAUUACAGUUGUAAUAUUGCUUAGAUAUUGUUUUCUGGGCUAAGAGUUAUACAGCCAUAUAACAUUUUGAGUUUUCUUUCAAGUGGGAUUGAGUAUUCUAGGGUCUGCUCGUAAACUGGAGACCUCAGAAGUGCAUGGUCAUCUUGGCUGUAUGAUGAAAUCAGGUUAAGAGCACCACUGACUGCUCUAACAGAAGUCCUUAGUUCCAAAUUCCCAGCAACCACAUGGUGGCUCACAACCAUCUGUUUUGGGAGCCCUCUUCUGGUGUCUGAAGACCGUGACCAUGCACUCACAUGUAGAAAAUAAAAUAUUAAAAGUAUCUGAGGUAUGAGGGUAUGACUAGCCUAGUAACAAGAUCUUUUUCCCAAACAACCAUUAGCUUGUGUAAAAAAAUUAGUACAUGGAAUGUAGGCCUUUGCAAGGACACAAGUUUAAAGUUUAGCUUUUCUUAGGAAAGUCUGAUUAAAGGGAAAAAAAAAAACCAAAAGACCAGUAACAGUUCCUGGGUUUUCUCUCUCUCUCUUUUUUUUUUUUUUGUUUGUUUGGGUUUUUCGAGACAGGGUUUCUCCGUAUAUUAGAGCUCACUGUCCUGGAACUCACUUUGUAGACCAGGCUGGCUCGGGACUCAGAAAUCCACCUGCCUCUGCCUCCCAGUGCGCCACCACGCCUGGCUGUAACAGUUCCUGUUACCUGCAAAUGCUUAGAUGGAUCUUAAUUGUAUUGGCAACAUUCUUUUUAUGUGUAUUCUCAAGAUUUGAUUCAAAUAUCCCGUUAGCGGUUUUUUUUUUUAAAGUACAAAGGUCAUGAAGCCACACCCUGUACAAACCUGUAUCUGAAUCUCUUGGGAGAAAGAUGCUCUCCAUUUUUACCCUUCAUUUCCUUCAUAGACGAUGGAAACACUCUAACCACUGUCUGGUUUCUUGAGCCCACUGCCACCUGCUUGCUCCUUACCUGUGGUACCACAAACGUUUAAAAGCGUCAUAGAUAAUGUGUGUGUCUUCUAGGCAGAAAUAAAGAAAAAUAGCUUCUUUAACUAAAGUCAUUGGGUUGGGAAGCCUGGAACCUUCUAGCUUCAAGGAAUAAGCACAAAGCGUCCGGGCAUUACAAGGAAACGGGAUUGAGAGUUACUUCUGCAUGUUAUUUAAUCAUCUAAGCAAUCUGGACCUGCAUAGUCGUCACCAUGGUGAUGUUUCUAGAAAAUUACUUAGGUAGUUUGGAGAAAAUUCGUAACACUGAAGCACUUAAUGCUCGGUAAUACUGCGACAGUAUUUGGCCCAGAGGCUCAGACAGUGGCAAUCAAUUGCUACAGUUUCAAACUCGGCGGUAUCUGGUAUAUCUAGUCUCAGAGUAUACAGAACAACUGACUCAGUUACCGUUUACGGGGAGGGUCUCAGGGAAACAAACAGCGAACCGCUCAAACACGUGGCUUUACAGAGAGCGUGGGAAAGGAAAGGGAGGGCGGUGGGGGAGGGCCCUGCCAAGACUUAAGAUGUCUGCUGAGGACCCCCGUAUCUGCCCGAGAGAGCGCGUUCCCUCUUCCAACAUGUCCUCCGCAGUGUUGACGUCACACCGCCGGCUCCCUGGGAGCGCAGAGCCGUAGCGCGCUCCAAUCGGGGUGGCGGCCCCGCCCCGCUCCCGCGCGUCACUUCCGGUGGUGCAGCAGCCAUUUUGUCAGUCGCCAGCGGAUCCCGCGCGCUGCCGAAGUGCAGUUCCCCCUGGUUACCAGGUGGUCGGUUCUUCCCCUCCGCGCUGCCGGCGGGCGGGCAGGCGGGCGCCCUCGGAGAGAGAGAGCGCCCACCACAGGCGUCGCCUUCGCUCCUCCCCGGGUCGCCGCGGCCCCUCUCCCGAGCCGCGGCGCUGUCUGCCUCUCCUUACCACUGACAGGCGCCCCCGAGGGCGCUGCCGGCGGCUAUGUCAAGCGAGGAGAGCUACCGGGCCAUCCUGCGCUACCUGACGAACGAACGCGAGCCCUAUGCGCCGGGCACCGAGGGCAAUGUCAAGCGGAAGAUCCGCAAGGCCGCCGCCUGCUACGUCGUGCGCGGCGGGACCCUCUACUACCAGCGGCGGCAGCGGCACCGCAAGACCUUCGCCGAGCUGGAGGUGGUGUUGCAGCCGGAGCGUCGCCAGGGCCUCAUCGAGGCGGCCCAUUUGGGCCCCGGGGGCACCCACCACACCCGGCACCAGACCUGGCACGACCUGUCCAAGACCUACUGGUGGCGAGGUAUAUUAAAGCAAGUUAAAGAUUACAUAAAACAGUGUAGCAAAUGUCAGGAGAAGCUCGAUCGCUCCCGUCCAAUAUCGGAUGCUUCGGAAAUGUUGGAAGAGUUGGGGUUGGAUCUUGACUCUGGAGAAGAAAGUAAUGAGUCGGAGGAUGACCUGAGCAACUUCACCUCCCCUCCAUCCACAGCCUCCAAGUCUUCCAAAAAGAAGCCAGUGUCGAAACAUGAGCUGGUGUUUGUUGACACCAAAGGAGUGGUCAAACGGUCCUCUCCAAAGCAUUGCCAGGCGGUUCUGAAACAGUUGAAUGAGCAGAGGCUUUCCAACCAGUUCUGUGACGUCACAUUGCUCAUCGAGGGGGAGGAGUACAAAGCGCACAAGUCUGUCCUCUCGGCUAAUAGUGAAUAUUUUCGAGAUCUUUUUAUUGAAAAAGGAGCAGUUUCUAGUCACGAGGCUGUUGUGGAUCUUUCUGGUUUCUGUAAAGCAAGCUUCCUUCCUUUGCUGGAAUUUGCCUAUACUUCUGUACUAAGUUUUGACUUUUGUAGCAUGGCUGAUGUAGCCGUCUUAGCUCGCCACCUUUUUAUGUCAGAAGUUUUAGAAAUUUGUGAAAGUGUACAUAAACUAAUGGAAGAAAAACAGCUUACAGUGUAUAAGAAAGGAGAAGUUCAAACGGUUGCAUCUACUCAGGACUUAGCAGCACACAAUGGAACUACAACACCACCUGGCACUAGGAAUGAAGCAACCACAACUUUGUCCGGUGAACUUGGGCAUUGUGAAAUUGUACUGCUGGUAAAUGGAGAAUUGCCAGAGGCAGAGCAGAAUGGGGAGCCAGAGCAGCAGCCUGCACCUCAGGCUUCUCCAGAGGCUGAAGCUAGUGUGUCCCCUGUAGAAGGUAUACCUGAGCCCCACCCUGAAAUGGGAACUGCAAGCUUAGCAAAAGAAAGCAACCAACCAGAGUCCGCAGUCACCAGAGAAGAUGGCAUAGUUGCUAGUGUUCAUCCUAAAAUCUCAAAAGAGAAUGUUACCAACGCCUCCCAAGAGGACAGUGAUACAGGAAACGAUACAUCACCUGAGGACAUCGGUGCCAAAGACUGUCCAGAUCAUAGUCAGAGCCCUGGCCAACCUUCAAAGGAUGAGGACACUCUAACUGAAGCUACAGAAAAGACAGACUCAGGCCCAGAUGAUGAUACUUAUAGGAGCAGGCUUAGGCAGCGGUCUGUUAAUGAAGGGGGCUAUAUCCGGCUACACAAGGGCAUGGAGAAAAAGUUACAGAAGCGGAAAGCCAUCUCUAAGUCAGCAGUUCAACAGGUGGCCCAGAAAUUAGUUCAAAGAGGAAAAAAGAUGAAACAACCAAAACGGGAUGCUAAGGAGAGCACCGAAGAAACGGCUCAUAAAUGUGGUGAAUGUGGAAUGGUUUUUCCGAGACGAUAUGCCUUUAUAAUGCACACAUUGAAACAUGAAAGAGCUAGAGAUUACAAAUGUCCGUUAUGUAAGAAACAGUUUCAGUAUAGUGCCUCAUUACGAGCACACCUUAUUCGACAUACAAGAAAAGAGGCACCCACUUCAUCCUCAUCCAAUUCCACAUCUACUGAGGCGUCGGGAGGAUCAUCUGAGAAGGGAAGAACCAAAAGAGAAUUUAUAUGUUCUAUAUGUGGAAGGACAUUACCUAAAUUAUACUCUCUCCGCAUACAUAUGCUAAAGCACACGGGUGUAAAGCCGCAUGCAUGCCAGGUGUGUGGAAAAACUUUUAUCUAUAAGCAUGGUCUAAAAUUGCAUCAAAGUCUGCAUCAAUCACAAAAGCAGUUUCAGUGUGAACUGUGUGUCAAGUCAUUUGUUACCAAGCGGAGUCUUCAGGAACAUAUGAGUAUUCACACAGGAGAGUCCAAGUACUUCUGCUCAAUUUGUGGAAAGUCUUUUCAUAGGGGCUCUGGACUUAGCAAGCACCUUAAGAAACACCAGCCAAAGCCUGAAGUUCGAGGCUAUCAUUGUACUCAGCUCCAUAUGGACAAAGUCUGCCAGUGCUCUCAGCUUCUCAUCCUCUCAGCUUCCAAACUGUCGAGAGUCUUUUCUGGUAGUUCCUGUAAAAGUCCUGUUUCCCUCUCAUUGGAUCCAAUGUGAAAAAAGUUUUUUUGAAGCCAGAGAUCUACGCCAGCAUAUGAACAAACAUCUUGGUGUGAAGCCAUUCCAGUGCCAGUUUUGUGAUAAGUGUUACAGCUGGAAGAAAGAUUGGUAUUCCCAUGUGAAGUCCCAUUCUGUCACUGAGCCUUACAGGUGUAAUAUAUGCGGCAAAGAAUUUUAUGAAAAAGCUUUAUUCAGAAGACAUGUAAAGAAGGCCACCCAUGGGAAGAAAGGAAGAGCAAAGCAAAACCUGGAGCGGGUGUGUGAUCAGUGUGGGAGGAAGUUCACGCAGCUGAGAGAGUACAGGAGACACAUGAACAACCAUGAAGGCGUUAAGCCUUUCGAGUGCUUAACAUGUGGAGUAGCGUGGGCUGAUGCCCGAUCACUAAAGCGUCAUGUCCGAACACAUACUGGUGAACGGCCCUAUGUGUGUCCUGUGUGUAGUGAAGCCUACAUUGAUGCUCGAACACUUCGUAAGCAUAUGACUAAAUUCCACAGAGACUAUGUGCCUUGCAAAAUUAUGCUGGAAAAAGACACUCUGCAGUUUCAUAACCAAGGAACACAAGUGGAACAUGCUGUCAGCAUCUUAACUGCAGACAUGCAGGAACAAGAAAGCAGUGGGCCUCAAGAACUGGAGACUGUGGUGGUGACAGGAGAAACUAUGGAAGUUCUUGAAGCUGUGGCAGCUACUGAGGAGUGUCCGUCGGUGUCUACCCUCUCUGACCAAAGCAUUAUGCAAGUGGUUAACUAUGUGCUGGCGCAGCAGCAAGGGCAGAAGCUGUCUGAAGUUGCAGAAGCCAUUCAGACUGUUGAAGUGGAGGUUGCACAUAUGCCAGAGGCAGAGUGAGUGCUGCUGUCACGGGCAAGCCUGCCCGAGGAGCUCACCGAGGACGCGUUUACAGUUUAUGUCACCACUAUGCAGUCCUGGGUUGUGGAACUCUGGGUUGUUGGUGACAUCACUAGUCUUCUUGUCUGGCCAGUGAGUUCUGCAGAAAGUCCUCUUUCUGUAAAGAAAUUGAAAACAAUCUGUUGGAUGGAAGUAGUUGAUCAUGGUAUGCCUUUUAUGAAUUAAUGUUUAUAUUUGACUUUAUUUUAUUACAUACUUUGAAUUUAAAAGGCUGCAGUUAGUGUCUCUUCUGUUGUCUGUUUACAGUACAGAGGGUCUGUGACUAGUUGCUGUUUGUGGAUUUAAAAAUUCUAAUAUAAAAAGCGUAUCUGUAAGAUGCAUAAAUAUAUUACAUUUAAAAAAUGCUUUAGAGCUAUGAUUCUUGACUCUAUUUAUUUUAACUGCUUCUAAGUCAAGAAUCUAUUCUAUCUUAAAGCACUUGAGUUCUGUGUUAUAAUCAAGUUUGUAUAAUUUAUUUAUCUCUAUGGGAGACCCAUAUGCAAAGCUAAUUUUAAAAUACCAUUAAAAUGCAUGAGAUGCCUAUUAGAGCCUUAUUAUACUAUCUCUUCAAGGCAAGUAUUGGCCAGGAGAAAAGAGUGCUGUUAUCGAACACUGUUGCCGGGAAGUUUCUGCUUGGUAACACUGACUAUGAAUGAAAAAAAAUCAACCCUGUUUCUUUUGCUGAAGAAUGAACAAGUUAGAGAAGAAGUUAAGUUUGAUAUGUUUAUCUUUUGUAUCAUGUUUGUUUAAAUUUGUUGAAAAACUACACAUCUAUAGUAGUAGUAUGGAAGUCAUAUAAUUGUUAAUUUCAGAAUGUUGAAAAUUCUUCAGUGCAACCCUUAGUAUACUGUAUUACAUAAAAAAUUGAUUAUGACACUAUCAAAUUGCUGAAAGUAUUUUCAAAAGUUACUUUAAAACUAAAUUAUACCCAUUCAUGUGUUUGAUUUUUUUUUGUUGUUUUUUUUUUUUUUUAAUUUCUCACUUCUGAGUUGUCAGAUACUCAGAUUUUGAAAAUAACCACGGGGAGAUGCCACAGCUCUCUCUAGAAGACUAUCGUUCAAGCUAGGAUUGUUACAAUUAAGCUUUUCGAUAUUAGAAGCUUUCUUAAGAUAUAUAAUUAAGAUAUAUAAAAUAGAUUAUAUGUAAAUCAUUCCUAAAGCACAAGAAGUGAAUGUGCCUUGAUGUACAUAUAUAAUAUUAGAACGCUUAUUCCAGUUUACUUUGAAAAUGGCUUUAAGGUUAAGGAGUAAUGUGAUCUCUCUGCAUGCAUCUUCUUGCAUACGGAAUGUGUGCAUUUGCAAAUUCGUCAUCGUUUUAAAAGCUGUGUGGCUUUCAGUUUUAAAAGUGAAUUUAUAUACAGCUCAUAACUUCAUAAAGGCUAUUCCUUGGUCAUGUCCACCAGUUAGUGAGAAAGUGUUUCAAUGAAACUAAAAUUUGAAAUUGUCUUAUGUUCCACUUUCACCACUGUUAGAUUUAGUUAAAUGUAUAAGAUUAUUAAUGUAUAUCAGAAAUAUAUAAAUAAAAGAUGUUCAGUCUUGUUAAAAGCAAA
RNA transcript from Mus musculus (house mouse), 7464 nucleotides. It is a transcript of the gene named zinc finger and BTB domain containing 11, with no coding region annotated. The transcript has 12 exons. The record is from RefSeq and is marked validated. NCBI's taxonomy places the organism in Eukaryota, Metazoa, Chordata, Mammalia, Rodentia, Muridae.